Caenorhabditis elegans is the source of this 189-nucleotide non-coding RNA. Ensembl annotates it as ncRNA. Its record names the gene anr-23. Lineage: Eukaryota; Metazoa; Nematoda; Chromadorea; Rhabditida; Rhabditidae. The record is from Ensembl.
UUGAGUAGCAUAUAAGUUCUGUUCCACUGAUUUCUUCGAACGAACUUUGCAGUUCAUUGGACAAAACUACUGUGUUUUCAAGUACCAUUUACAGCUUCUUCAACAAACAUUGCGACACAUUUUUAUGAUGAAACAACGCUUCUUAUUGUCUGUGUUUCCUGUUCCUAGGCGAUGAAGUGUCUGGCAUUU